AGAGUUUGAUCCUGGCUCAGAAUCAACGCUGGCGGCGCGCUUAACACAUGCAAGUCGAACGAGAAAGCUGGAGCAAUCCAGUGAGUAAAGUGGCGUACGGGUGAGUAACACGUGGAUCAUCUACCUCUUUGUGGGGGAUAACUCUGGGAAACCGGAGCUAAUACCGCAUAAGCUCGAGAGAGGAAAGCCCCUAUUUAAAAGAUGGGGGCGCAGAGAGAGGAGUCCGCGGCCGAUUAGCUAGUUGGCGGGGUAAUGGCCCACCAAGGCGAUGAUCGGUAGCCGGCCUGAGAGGGCACACGGCCACACUGGCACUGAAACACGGGCCAGACUCCUACGGGAGGCAGCAGUGGGGAAUCUUGCACAAUGGGGGCAACCCUGAUGCAGCGACGCCGCGUGAGCGAUGAAGCCCUUCGGGGUGUAAAGCUCUUUCGGCAGGGACGAUAAUGACGGUACCUGAAGAAGAAGCUGCGGCUAACUACGUGCCAGCAGCCGCGGUAAUACGUAGGCAGCAAGCGUUGUUCGGAAUUACUGGGCGUAAAGAGUGUGUAGGCGGUUUUCUAAGUUCGGUGUGAAAUCUCCCGGCUUAACUGGGAGGGUGCGCCGAAAACUGGAAGGCUUGAGUGUCGGAGAGGAUAGCGGAAUUCCUGGUGUAGCGGUGAAAUGCGUAGAUAUCAGGAGGAACACCUGCGGUGUAGACGGCUAUCUGGACGACCACUGACGCUGAGACACGAAAGCGUGGGUAGCAAACAGGAUUAGAUACCCUAGUAGUCC
RNAcentral lists this ribosomal RNA (771 nucleotides) under uncultured bacterium. RNAcentral's name for it is "bacterial SSU rRNA". It matches the Rfam family "Bacterial small subunit ribosomal RNA", at positions 8 to 796 of the family's 1533-position model. The record is from RNAcentral.